CCCUUAGAUGCUCUGGGCCGCACGCGCGCUACACUGACGAAGUCAGCGAGCAUGUCCUACGCCGAUAGGUGCGGGGAAUCUUGUGAAACUUCGUCGUGCUGGGGAUUGAUUAUUGAAAUUAUUGAUCAUCAACGAGGAAUUCCUAGUAAGCGCAAGUCAGCAGCUUGCGUUGAUUACGUCCCUGCCCUUUGUACACACCGCCCGUCGCUACUACCGAUUGAAUGGUUUAGUGAGAUCUUCGGAUUGGUGCCACCGAGUCCAGCAAUGGACACGGUGGAUAUCGAAAAGUCGAUCAAACUUGAUCAUUUAGAGGAAGUAAAAGUCGUAACA
RNAcentral lists this ribosomal RNA (330 nucleotides) under uncultured eukaryote. Its description in RNAcentral is "partial 18S ribosomal RNA". It matches the Rfam family "Eukaryotic small subunit ribosomal RNA", at positions 1470 to 1796 of the family's 1831-position model. The record is from RNAcentral.